UCUUUUUAAAUAAUAUCGAUCUUUAGCGCCCUUCAAUAAUUUUUCUUCUUUUUUAUCAUUAUUCUUUUAUGUCCAUUUAAGUGCUACCUGCAACACAAAGUUGAUCCCAAAUGUUAGUGUAUUUUAGGUUAAAAAGAUAAGAUUUAAACGAAUGUCGACGUUUGAUAGAUAGUCUACGCGGGCCUUGAAUUGUUACAAAAAUUCAACUUACGGAAUUGGCCUUUAAAAGUAUUUGUCUAAUAACGACCGUUCCGAAGAAUAUAUGCGUCAGCCCCCACUCCGGUUGAUUUCAGCAGAGGAGAAGACCCUGUACGACAUGGAUCUAAAAGGUCCAUCACUUGAUCCAAUGGAUUCUCGACUACCCUUGCUUACGCAUUAAUAAGGCUCAUGAGCACGACUUGCCUUGAGAGCAAAGGUUGCUCAGCCUUGCUUCAGAUAUUUAUACUGGUAAAAAGUACAGAAUCGACUUUCGAGAGCUAAAAAAUUUUUUUUCGAGUUAUUAAAACGUAUCAUACAUCUGUUAAGGUAGUAACCAUACUCUACUGUCUAUACAAUGAUUUAUUCAUUCAUUUAUGUACACUAUCGAUACAUUGGAUUAAGUCCGUCCAUCCAUCUUUCUCGUUUACUUUUAUUACGCAGUAAUAUGUCAAAUAGUACGAUUAUUCAAUUAGUAAAGAAAUCGUGGAUUCAUUUGGAGUUAUACACUAGGGUGUAAAUUUACCUUUUGUGUUGGACAGGAUGGUUAAUUACUACGUAAAUUUAAUGCUGAAGAUUCAUAACGUGGUUCUUCAAUCAUCAGCCCUUCAUAAUCGAGAGUAUUGAUGAAUAUUUACGACUGCUGUUACGUAACAAAUAUUAAUAAAUUAUAUGGCGUGAAGGCCGUCAGUUCACACGAUAUUACUCCCUCUUAAAGUCAAUAUCAAGAUGAAUUUGACUUAGUUAUCACAGCCAUAAGGAAGCAAUAUUAUACGGAAUUGAGUGUAGAGUUUAAUGAAGUAAAUAAUCAUACUUUAUCUUUCCUUGUCUAUUCCUGUGGUCGUUCCUUCCUUUUUGUUAAUCGGUUCUCAAGUCAUCGGCCUUAUCAAAUUCGGUUAUAAUUGUAAAGAAAAAUGAAACUGAAUAAAAUUAAAGAAAAUAAUUGUACAAUGGUUUUCUUCCAUUUUAUAAAUACUGAAUCAAUGAAUCUUUCAUAGUGAAGUAAUCCGAUUUUUUCAUUCUUCAUUUUGAAGAGUAAGAACAUAAAGGAGAAAUUAAAAAAUUUCUGAUUACGAUAAGCUCCCUAAGAAUUCAUUCAUUCGUCACUGGUUCUGAGAAUGAUAUAACUUCAUGAAAGAUUUUAUUAUCCGUGAUUCCGAUGUUUUGGUGUACUAUUACCCCGAAAUAAUUAUUGCUCUUAGCGGUAUGCAUGAUUUGGUAUCAAUCAUAAAUAUUUGAUGUUUUCAAUAAUCAUAAUAAGAAAACAAGAUAAUAA
This is a long non-coding RNA of Fopius arisanus, 1471 nucleotides long. RefSeq lists it as uncharacterized. The record is from RefSeq and is a predicted model, not a curated record. The transcript has 2 exons. Lineage: Eukaryota; Metazoa; Arthropoda; Insecta; Hymenoptera; Braconidae.